Molecule: unclassified non-coding RNA, 385 nt
Filed under: soil metagenome
Description: partial contains 5.8S ribosomal RNA, internal transcribed spacer 2, and large subunit ribosomal RNA
Rfam family: 5.8S ribosomal RNA (bases 1-120)
Source: RNAcentral
GAUGAAGAACGUAGCGAAAUGCGAUAAGUAAUGUGAAUUGCAGAAUUCAGUGAAUCAUCGAAUCUUUGAACGCACCUUGCACCCUUUGGCAUUCCGAAGGGUAUGCUCGUUUGAGUGUCAUUGUACUCUCACACUCUCCGAUCCUAUGGAUUCGGGGAGCGGUGGACUUGGGUGUUGCUGCCUUUCCCUGUGGCUCACCUCAAAUGCGUCAGUGCACCUCUUGGUUGGACAUAGUACGGCGUGAUAAGUGUCUUCGCCGGCACCUCGCAAGAGGGUGGCCGAUCGGGAGCUCUGCGCUUUCAAACCGUCUUCGGACAAUUUCUGACAUCUUGACCUCAAAUCGAGUAGGACUACCCGCUGAACUUAAGCAUAUCAAUGCGGAGGA